This 74-nucleotide transfer RNA is filed under the name Gammaproteobacteria bacterium. RNAcentral's name for it is "tRNA-Thr". It matches the Rfam family "tRNA". Rfam says of the family: Transfer RNA (tRNA) molecules are approximately 80 nucleotides in length. Their secondary structure includes four short double-helical elements and three loops (D, anti-codon, and T loops). RNAcentral also lists the same sequence under 1 other name. Lineage: Bacteria; Pseudomonadati; Pseudomonadota; Gammaproteobacteria. The record is from RNAcentral.
GCCGGUAUAGCUCAGUUGGUAGAGCACCUGAUUUGUAAUUAGGGUCACGGGUUCAAAUCCUGUUACCGGCUCCA